GCCUGGGUAGCUCAAGUCGGUUGAGCGUCCGACUUCAGCUCGGGUCACGAUCUCGCGGUUCGUGGGUUCGAGUCCCGCAUCCGGCU
RNAcentral lists this transfer RNA (86 nucleotides) under Felis catus (domestic cat). It matches the Rfam family "tRNA". From Rfam's summary of the family: Transfer RNA (tRNA) molecules are approximately 80 nucleotides in length. Their secondary structure includes four short double-helical elements and three loops (D, anti-codon, and T loops). The record is from Rfam by way of RNAcentral. Lineage: Eukaryota; Metazoa; Chordata; Mammalia; Carnivora; Felidae.